GUCUACAGCUGCACCACCCUCAACGUGCCUGAUUGCGUCUGAUCUCAGAAGCUAAGCAGGGUCACGCCUGGUUAGUACUUGGAUGGGAAAAAUGCCCUGACACAGCCCUGGGGAACAUUCACACUGCAACCC
Microcebus murinus (gray mouse lemur) is the source of this 132-nucleotide ribosomal RNA. Lineage: Eukaryota; Metazoa; Chordata; Mammalia; Primates; Cheirogaleidae. The record is from Ensembl.